UGCGGGGCGAAUAUUCGCGACAAUAGACGCGAAAGCCUGAUCCAGCAAUGCCGCGUGAGUGAUGAAGGCCUUAGGGUUGUAAAGCUCUUUUACCAGGGAUGAUAAUGACAGUACCUGGAGAAUAAGCUCCGGCUAACUCCGUGCCAGCAGCCGCGGUAAUACGGAGGGAGCUAGCGUUGUUCGGAAUUACUGGGCGUAAAGCGCACGUAGGCGGCUACUCAAGUCAGAGGUGAAAGCCCAGGGCUCAACCCUGGAACUGCCUUUGAAACUAGGUAGCUAGAAUCUUGGAGAGGUCAGUGGAAUUCCGAGUGUAGAGGUGAAAUUCGUAGAUAUUCGGAAGAACACCAGUGGCGAAGGCGACUGACUGGACAAGUAUUGACGCUGAGGUGCGAAAGCGUGGGGAGCAAACAGGAUUAGAUACCCCUGGUAGA
RNAcentral lists this ribosomal RNA (431 nucleotides) under uncultured Novosphingobium sp. RNAcentral's name for it is "bacterial SSU rRNA". It matches the Rfam family "Bacterial small subunit ribosomal RNA", at positions 350 to 794 of the family's 1533-position model. Lineage: Bacteria; Pseudomonadati; Pseudomonadota; Alphaproteobacteria; Sphingomonadales; Sphingomonadaceae. The record is from RNAcentral.